Molecule: ribosomal RNA, 468 nt
Filed under: uncultured bacterium
Lineage: Bacteria
Description: partial 16S ribosomal RNA
Rfam family: Bacterial small subunit ribosomal RNA (bases 58-468)
Source: RNAcentral
GGGGGGGGGGGGGGGGGGGGGGGGGGGGGGGGGGGCGGGCGGGGGGGCCGUGGGGGGGGGGGGUGCUGGGGGGGCGACCGGGUGCGUAAGGCGGUGGUGACCUGCCCUUGAGUUUGGUGUCACUUCAGUUAACGGGGGCUAAUACCGGCGAGGAGCUCCGUCUUCUGGGUUGGGGUUGGCCAGUUUCGGCGGUUUGGGACGGACUCGCGGCUGAUGAGCUUGGUGGUGGGGGAGUGGCUUACCCAGGCUUGGACGGGUCGCCGGCCUGCGAUGGUCACCGGGCACAUUGGGACUGAGAUACGGACCAGACUGCUACGGGAGGCAGCAGGGGGGAAUAUUGCACAAUGGGCGGAAGCCUGAUGCAGCAACGCCGCGUGCGGGAUGACGGCCUUCGGGUUGUAAACCGCUUUCGCCUGUGACGAAGCGUGAGUGACGGUAAUGGGUAAAGAAGCACCGGCUAACUACGUG